RNAcentral lists this non-coding RNA (1955 nucleotides) under Echinostoma caproni. Its description in RNAcentral is "Eukaryotic large subunit ribosomal RNA". It matches the Rfam family "Eukaryotic large subunit ribosomal RNA", at positions 120 to 1963 of the family's 3401-position model. The record is from Rfam by way of RNAcentral. Lineage: Eukaryota; Metazoa; Platyhelminthes; Trematoda; Plagiorchiida; Echinostomatidae.
NNNNNNNNNNNNNNNNNNNNNNNCUAGGCAAUGUGGUGUUCAGGUCAGCUCGCGGGGAUACUGCUCCACCCUAAGUCCUAUAAUGAGUAAGGUUACUCGGACGUGGCCCAUAGAGGGUGAAAGGCCCGUGGGGGUGGAGACUCAGUUUGGCCAGUAUCUUCCUGAGCAGACCUUGGAGUCGGGUUGUUUGUGAAUGCAGCCCAAAGUGGGUGGUAAACUUCAUCCAAGGCCAACUACUUACACAAGUUCGAUAGAUAACAAGUACCGUGAGGGAAAGUUGAAAAGUACUUUGAAGAGAGAGUAAACAGUGCGUGAAACCGCUCAGAGGUAAACGGGUGGAGUUGAACUGCAAGCUCCGAGGAUUCAGCUGGUGAGAUUGACAUAAGCUUCAUCAUGUGGGUUGUGUGUUCCGGUCUGCUUAGCUGCAGGCCCUCGAGUUUGGUGGGCACGCGCAUAUCGCUUAUCAAGCGUUGUGCACCCGGGCUUCUCGAACCUGAUCGCUAUUGCAUGUUCUCGAAGAUGUCUGGGAAAUACACAGUUUUAUCCAGGAAAGCGAAUGACUCGAGGCAUUGGGGGCGAAACGUCCUCAACCUAUUCUCAAACUUUAACUGAGUGAGAAGCUUGACUCGCUUAAACGGAGUCGGGCCUUGAAUGUGAGUGCCAAGUGGGCCAUUUUUGGUAAGCAGAACUGGCGCUGUGGGAUGAACCAAACGUUCGGUUAAGGUGCCUAACGCGACGCUCAUGAGAUAGCAAAAAGGUGUUGGUUGGUCCAGACAGCAGGACGGUGGCCAUGGAAGUUGGAAUCCGCUAAGGAGUGUGUAACAACUCACCUGCCGAAUCAACCAGCCCUGAAAAUGGAUGGCGCUGGAGCAGCAUUUGUUUCACAGACCGCAUCUCCGUAUUUCUCCGCACUGUUGCCGUACGUCCAAUCCUUCCGAGACCAGCUUUACUAUUACUUUCAGUUCUAGUGACAUGCAUUUUCAAUGCAUCCUCUACCUUUCAUAAGUUCAUCGGUGAUCUUGUCCGGUUUGUGUUCCUUUCACGCUUUGUUUUCGUUCUGAUCCCCACCAUUUUUAUUGUUUACCUAUGUACUUACACUGUUAUUUUACAUAUGCUCACUCUGAUCAUUUGAUCAUGCCUUGUGCAUGUCUCACGGGCUCCGUGAAAUAUACACCUAUUAUUAUUCUUCUUCUUAUUAUUAUUAAUAACUUUACCGGACCGUCACUGCAAGCUGAGUCGGUAAUGUGUGGUGUGAAGGCAAGCCACAGGACUCAGGCAUGGCAUUGUUGUGACGAGUAGGAGGGUCACCGUGGUGAGCGGAAAGCUUCGGGCGUGAGCCUGAGUGGAGCCGCCACGGGUGCAGAUCUUGGUGGUAGUAGCAAAUAUUCAAGUGAGAACCUUGAAGGCCGAGGUGGAGAAGGGUUCCAUGGGAACAGCAGUUGGCCAUGGGUCAGGCGGUCCUAAGUGAUCCGGUAAAUCGGUACAGAGACGGGGUGCCUGACAUUGUCAGGAUUGCUGCCAUUGUACUGUUGCACGGUAGCCCCCUGUAGCGAAAGGGAAUCGGGUUAAUAUUCCCGACCCUGCCCACGGAGAUUGGUGCAUUCUGGCUUCGGUCAGUUUGUACCUGGCGCGGUAACGCAAUCGACCUCGGAGACGUCGGCGAGAGUUCUGGGAAGAGUUCUCUUUUCUUUGUUAGGAGUGCACCAUCCCCUGGAAACGGGUUGUCCGGAGAUAGGGGACUAGCCUCCGUAAAGCACCACCCUUCUUGUGGUGUCCGGAACGCUCUUGUCGGCCCUUGAAAAUCCGAGCGAGGCUAUAUAAUUUUCGUGGCAGGCCGUACCCAUAUCCGCAUCAGGUCUCCAAGGUGAACAGCCUCUGGCAUUUGAACAAUGUAGGUAAGGGAAGUCGGCAAAUUGGAUCCGUAACUUCGGGAAAAGGAUUGGCUCUGAGGGCCG